Molecule: unclassified non-coding RNA, 249 nt
Filed under: Hevea brasiliensis (rubber tree)
Lineage: Eukaryota; Viridiplantae; Streptophyta; Magnoliopsida; Malpighiales; Euphorbiaceae
Source: RNAcentral
AGGCUUAGUUGAGUUGAGUAUGAUACUCAAUGUUUAUAGUAUCUUAGGAAUGAUGAAAAUUAAGAAGAAAGGCAAAUCAAAUUUUACUCCUUAUCUUUUUAGCUAGUGAAGUAAGUGUGCUUUCUCAUUUGUUUAGUGCUAAAAAUAAAUAAAUAAAUUAUGAUUCGUUUAAAAAUUAGGACCUUCUUUUUCAACUAAAGUUUCCUAUUUCUAGAAGCAACUUAAACAUGAUAUCAAAUGAAAAAAUUC